GGGGGUGUGGCGCAGUUGGUAGCGCGUCUGCUUCGCAUGUGGAAGGUCUCGGGUUCGACUCCUGACGCCUCCA
Babjeviella inositovora NRRL Y-12698 is the source of this 73-nucleotide transfer RNA. It matches the Rfam family "tRNA". Rfam says of the family: Transfer RNA (tRNA) molecules are approximately 80 nucleotides in length. Their secondary structure includes four short double-helical elements and three loops (D, anti-codon, and T loops). The record is from Rfam. Lineage: Eukaryota; Fungi; Ascomycota; Pichiomycetes; Serinales.